Molecule: ribosomal RNA, 413 nt
Filed under: uncultured bacterium
Lineage: Bacteria
Description: bacterial SSU rRNA
Rfam family: Bacterial small subunit ribosomal RNA
Source: RNAcentral
AAUCAACGCUGGCGGCGUGCCUCAGACAUGCAAGUCGAACGCGAAAUUUCCCUUCGGGAGAAAGUAGAGUGGCGCACGGGUGAGUAACACGUAGGUAAUUUGCCUUUGGGUGGGGAAUAACUCAGGGAAACUUGAGCUAAUACCGCAUAAUGCAGCGGCUCGACAUCGAGACAGUUGUUAAAGCGGGGAGUUGGAGCAAUCCGACCUCGCGCCUAAAGAGAAGCCUGCGGCAGAUUAGCUAGUUGGUAAGGUAAUGGCUUACCAAGGCGACGAUCUGUAACCGGCCUGAGAGGGCGGUCGGGUCACACUGACACUGACAUACGGGUCAGACUCCUACGGGAGGCAGCAGUCGGGAAUUUUGGGCAAUGGGCGCAAGCCUGACCCAGCAACGCCGCGUGAAGGAUGAAAUUUUU